CCCAGUGACAUUGUUCAACGGCCGCGGUAUCCUACCGUGCGAAGGUAGCGUAAUCACUUGUCCUUUAAAUAAGGACUAGUAUGAAUGGCUCCACGAAAGCUAUACUGUCUCCUUUAUUUAAUCAGUAAAACUAAUCUCCCCGUGAAGAAGCGGGGAUGUACCUAUAAGACGAGAAGACCCUGUGGAGCUUUAAACACUUUAAAACAUUUGAAUUAUUUUCUUUCUCUAUUCCCACUAAAUCACUCAUUUUGUUUUAAGUUUUAGGUUGGGGUGACCACGGAGAAUAAAUUAACCUCCACGUAGAAAGAACUUUCUCUUCUAAGCGAAAAAUUACAUUUUUAUGCAUCAAAAUAUUGACCUAAAUUGACCCAAUUUUUUGAUCAACGAACCAAGUUACCCUAGGGAUAACAGCGCAAUCCGCUUUAAGAGCUCCUAUCGACAAGCGGGCUUACGACCUCGAUGUUGGAUCAGGGUAUCCCAGUGGUGCAGCAACUACUCACGGUUCGUUC
RNAcentral lists this ribosomal RNA (509 nucleotides) under Allobates marchesianus (dull rocket frog). RNAcentral's name for it is "partial 16S ribosomal RNA". It matches the Rfam family "Bacterial large subunit ribosomal RNA", at positions 1862 to 2578 of the family's 2925-position model. The record is from RNAcentral. Lineage: Eukaryota; Metazoa; Chordata; Amphibia; Anura; Aromobatidae.